RNAcentral lists this ribosomal RNA (253 nucleotides) under uncultured prokaryote. RNAcentral describes it as "partial 16S ribosomal RNA". It matches the Rfam family "Bacterial small subunit ribosomal RNA", at positions 525 to 777 of the family's 1533-position model. The record is from RNAcentral.
ACGUAGGGCGCGAGCGUUGUCCGGAUUUAUUGGGCGUAAAGAGCUCGUAGGCGGUUUGUCGCGUCGUCCGUGAAAACUCACAGCUUAACUGUGAGCUUGCGGUCGAUACGGGCAGGCUAGAGUUCGGUAGGGGAGACUGGAAUUCCUGGUGUAGCGGUGAAAUGCGCAGAUAUCAGGAGGAACACCGAUGGCGAAGGCAGGUCUCUGGGCAUUAACUGACGCUGAGGAGCGAAAGCAUGGGGAGCGAACAGGA